RNAcentral lists this ribosomal RNA (119 nucleotides) under Pteropus alecto (black flying fox). Lineage: Eukaryota; Metazoa; Chordata; Mammalia; Chiroptera; Pteropodidae. The record is from RNAcentral.
UUCUAUGCCCAUGCCACCUUGAACAAACCUGAUCCUGUCCGAUCUUGGAAGCUAAGCAGGGUUGGGUCUGGUUAGUACUUGGAUGGGAGACCACCUAGGAAGAUCAGGUGCUGUAGGCA